This 353-nucleotide ribosomal RNA is filed under the name Trigonodemus koreanus. RNAcentral describes it as "partial 12S ribosomal RNA". Lineage: Eukaryota; Metazoa; Arthropoda; Insecta; Coleoptera; Staphylinidae. The record is from RNAcentral.
UUUAAGUGUAAAUAUAAAUUCUAAAUUAGUAUUAGUUAUAGUCUUGAAAGUUAAAGAUUUUGGCGGUAUUUUAGUCUUUUCAGAGGAACCUGUUCUGUAAUCGAUAGUCCACGAUUAAUUUGACUUAUUUUAUUAAUUUGUAUAUCGUCGUAGUUUGAAUAUUUUAUAAGAAUUUUUAAUAUUCAAGAUUUUUUAUAAAAAAAGAAAUCAGAUCAAGGUGCAGUUUAUGAAUAAGGAGAAAUGGGUUACAAUAACGAUAGUUAUAUGGUAUAAGAAAUGAAAUUUUUUUAUUAAAUUGGAUUUGAAAGUAAUAUAAUUUAUUUUAAUUAUAUGAUUUAAGCUCUAAAAUAUGC